UACGUAGGGACCAAGCGUUGUCCGGAAUCAUUGGGCGUAAAGAGCGUGUAGGCGGCUUGUUAAGUCUUGCGUGAAAUCUCGGGGCUCAACCCCCGAGCGGUCGUGAGAAACUGGCAGGCUAGAGUGCGGGAGAGGAGAGUGGAAUUCCUGGUGUAGCGGUGAAAUGCGCAGAUAUCGGGAAGAACACCCGUGGCGAAGGCGGCACUCUGGGACGGUACUGACGCUGAGGAGCGAAAGCGUGGGUAGCAAACAGGA
RNAcentral lists this ribosomal RNA (255 nucleotides) under uncultured bacterium. Its description in RNAcentral is "partial 16S ribosomal RNA". It matches the Rfam family "Bacterial small subunit ribosomal RNA", at positions 524 to 777 of the family's 1533-position model. The record is from RNAcentral.